AGAGCCCUAAGUGAUGAGCACCUUCUGACUUUUAUGAAACAAAUAGAAGCUGUAUUUUAGACUUUCCUUAUGUAAUAGAUGAGGAAGGUUUCUAUUGGUUAUUUCAGCUAUGUUAACAUUUCUUUCUUUCCGCCUAUAUCAUUUUUAUAUUUCAGAAAAGCACAGCACGGUUGCAAGCAUUUCAGACACAGUCGUGUCACUUUACCUGUAACAGCUAUGGUUCAGAAGUUCUUUGCUCAAUGGAUUCAGAAAUCGCAGGUUCUGGAAAAUGACAAACCACCUCAAGUUUGGCCACAUGUGGUUUCAACUCCAGUGAAAUCUUGGGAUUAUUCAGCAAAUUUACAUCAAUGGAUUCUGCUCCCUUUUGUAGUUCUCUGCUUCCUGUUGCUCAUUACCAGUAUAGUUCUGGGUGUUCUAUAUAACAGAGCAUCGAGAGA
Long non-coding RNA from Lepisosteus oculatus (spotted gar), 437 nucleotides. RefSeq lists it as uncharacterized. Lineage: Eukaryota; Metazoa; Chordata; Actinopteri; Semionotiformes; Lepisosteidae. The record is from RefSeq and is a predicted model, not a curated record.